UCAUUCGAAUUUACCCCGCACGAAAAUUUCCUCCCCUCGCUCACGUCGCGUCGUUGCUCUGCCCACCGCCACCGGCGACGCCGCCUCUCUGAGCGACCCUCCCUCUGCCCAAACCAACAUUGCAUAGUUUGAAAAGGUAAGCAGAGACUGAUUUAUUCUCUGCCUUGUGAGGAUGUAAGUACCACGUAAUUACUCUACUCAGCAACGCCCCCGUCGACCCUCUCAUCGUCUCCCCAAGUCUCCUCGUGCGGCUUCCUCGCCCUCCCCGAGUAAGUUCUACUCUACAUUCGGCCUUCUUCUGAUGUUUGCUUCCCUUUAUGUUUUCCUUGAAAAGAACAUGAUCUGAAAAGUUCAACUCAACUGGAAGAUGCGAUGUUGUUGUUUUAGUCGUACCCAAAUCAUAAAACAUUUAAUAGUUUUAGGUUCAUGAUGGGGUUUUUCCUUUUCUUGGAUUUUCACGGCAAUCCAAUAUAGGAUUUUCUUGGAUUUUCACGGCAAACAGUUAAUACUAGUGAUUUACACUAGUAAAUCAGACAAGCUCAAGAAAUGGUUCUCGUUGAUUGAUGCGGUAACGUUGUCACAUAAGAGGGUUCUAUUAACUGUUAAAAAACUUCGUGAGUCUUCUCUUGUUAGCAGCGAGUUGCAUAGGACACUGUAUGGCUUUAUUCUAUUUGAAGUUUCAUGGAACAAUGUCCGAGGCAUCAACUACUUGAAUGAUCUUCAGGGAAGACACUACUUGCAAAAACACUGGCUCGAUUUGUGAAUGUGCCCUUUGUCAUCGCUGAUGCAACAACUUUGACACAGUUGUGUCAAGAAGUGCUGCUGCAAGAUGGGUAGAGGAAAGAUUGAGAUCAAGAUGAUCGAGAACGUACACUACCAAUCGUCAAGUCACCUUCUGCAAGCGGAGAAAAGAACUCUUGAAGAAAGCUUGUGCUAUUGCUUGCUUGGUAUGCACCAAGGCUUGUGCUGUUACUUGUGCUGUUGCUUGCUUGUCUCUUGCAGAGUAUAAUAUAUAGAAGGAACAUCACCUCAAUUUGACCCAGAAAAAAAUAUGAUAUAGCAAGUGGCUUCUAACAAAAGACAAGCAUGUCUGGGAAUGUUGAGAAGGCCAUCCAGAGAAGUUAUGGGCUCUUCCCUGCUAUGAAAAUCUUCGAGAGAUCUGGGUUUGAAUUAAGGUAAACAUUCCACUAAAUAUUUUGAAUGGCUUUGUGGCACUUCUUUCGGAUGGAGGAUUUUGACAAGAUUGGAAGCGAAGGCAUGACCAGGAUAUAUUUUCAUUUGCUAUAUAUUUAGUUCUUGUAUAACUUUAAUUUUGGUAUGUGGUUGCUAAGCAUGCACUGAUUGUAAGUGAUUGUAAGAGGGAAAUAAAAGGGAAAUGAGACUUGUAAUAUACACAUUGUUUACUUUGUGUUUCAUUUGCUGUAAUAUUUGUGAGAUGAAUGAAAAGUAAGCUUAGAUCUGUAUUUGUUAACAUGUUGCAUAU
Molecule: long non-coding RNA, 1483 nt
Organism: Juglans regia (Persian walnut)
Lineage: Eukaryota; Viridiplantae; Streptophyta; Magnoliopsida; Fagales; Juglandaceae
Exons: 5
Source: RefSeq, a predicted model, not a curated record